UUUUCCAGUAAAUCUUUUGUUUUGUUUUCACAGCCAUUUUGAUUUUGCAUCUGACAUUUCAUUCACUUUCUGAUCUUUCUCUGUAUGCUCGAUUUCCACCAAACUGCUCACAUCUUGAACCGCUCCCUCUUUUUGUUCCUCAUUUUCAUUCUUCUGAUCAUCCUUAAAAUUAUUACAUAUAUCCAUUUUAUCUAAUGCCGCUUCUUUUGUUUCAAGCUCAUUGUCUUCAACAACUACAUUCUUCUUCUCAAUCACAUCCUCAGCUUUUUUAUAAUUGCUAGAAUCAUCACAUUUGUUCUCAAUUAAAUCUUUUGAUUUUGGGGAAUAUCAUCUCCAAUCCUCUGUCAUUUUGACAGGGCAAUAUCAUGGGC
This 371-nucleotide long non-coding RNA is filed under the name Zostera marina. RNAcentral's name for it is "long non-coding RNA (ZMAR_LNC003397)". The record is from RNAcentral. Lineage: Eukaryota; Viridiplantae; Streptophyta; Magnoliopsida; Alismatales; Zosteraceae.